CAGAACCUGAGGGGUUAAAUACUGCUUUGCACAAGGCUGCAUCUCGUGUCUUGGUCUGUGCUGCAGCUGCUGUUCCAGUCCUCCACUUCCUUUGAGUGGAGGCUUUCGCUUGGAGCUGUAGGAGGAGGCUCCUCUGCCUCCCACAGUUCAGUACCAGAGUGGAAGGUUACGUGCUGCCAUUACUUACUUGCUGUGGUGUUUCUUUCAUUUGCCUCCACCUUUCACGAGCACCACCGUCUUUAUCCUGUUGCCUGCCUGAAUGUAGUUGAAUUGUCUCAGCCUGGAUGUAGCCCAGAUUUGUGAAAUGCACAGCAGUAGAAUUUGAGUUUUCAAGUGAAAUAACUCUUCCUUGUCUGAACCGUCCUUCAAAAUGCGGGAUUAGAAGUUUCCUACCACAUCAUCUUUAGGACUCCCAGAAAAUUCUUCUGCAGCUUGUGGCUGCCCGGAAAAGGAUGUUGUAGUAGUCUGGCAAAAUGAACUCAAGAUGCACAAGAAGAACAUACUAGAGACUGAUCUGCAAGGUGUUCAGUGUUUUUGAACCUUGAGCCAGACCACUGGCCUUCAGAAAUAUCCCCAGUCUGAUUUUGGAACCAGAAGAAAAGAGCAGGAAACUGCUGUCGGAAGCUGGUAAUGUAGAAUUAGAAAAUGUUUCUCUUCAACUUUCAAGAGUGAUAUUAUUUUCCUAUAAGAAAGAUUAAUUGUAUCUAAAUCAUUUUAACUUUUAAAGUGUUUAACUACUCAGUUACACGUUUCAUUGAAAAGAGUUCAUGCUGUAAGACAGGAGAAAUGAGCCUUAUCCAAAUUCUGCUGACAAUAGAUAGGAAGAAUAGUAUCUGAGAAUAUUCUAUAAUCUGAAAUUAAGAGCGAGUUUUGUAGCCAGAGGAGAAAAAUUGGUGGUCAAAUCAAAUAUCCUGUACGUUAGAUGUGAAUUACAGACCUUACUUAGUUCAAAAGCUCAUAAGCAUGGGGAAAAUAAACUUGACUUUGAAUGUCAGGUUGCGAUCAUUUUAGCACAUCUGAUUCCCUCAAAAUAAGAAAAAUCUAAAAGUCAGAUUUUCCUUUUAGAAAUCUCAAACUAUAUAUAAUUUGGAUAACAAUGAGUAACAAGCUGCUUUAGAAGGGAAACUUUUUUCCUUCUUUGAGGAAAAAAUUGCACAUAAUACUUAGCUGCAAAACUUUUUUACUUCUAAAAGUAUCCCAGUAUCUGUUUUUCUAAAUAAAUUGCAGUUAUAAUAAAACUACUCACGACUGUUGUUACAUUUGAGAAAUUUUUAUUCAUUUUAGUUUUCAGAGGAGUAGUUCUAUUUCUGAAGUUUUCUGUGAUUUUGGGACCUGAACAACUUGAAAUCAGUAUAUUAACACAGUAUUUCUAUAAGACGAUGGCAUUCUAAGUGGAACUUUCCAGAGUGGAAAACUUCACUCUUAAAGCCCUAGUAUGUCUCAUUCCAAAAAACUCUGCAUUGAGUGUAGAAAGUAUUAGUAAAAAAAAAAAAAAGUAUUAGUGCAGGACAUGAUGCAAGAUUAUUCCAGUUAAUUGUAUAAGCCAGUUCUUUCAUUCCUAUUUGCUUCAUCUUGUAACUAUGGCAAUGGUUUCAGAAAGUGCUGGAAUAUUGGCUAUUUUUUUUAAAUUGAUUCAGUGUUGAAUGGUGACAGUGAUGUGUGGUUGCUGCUGACGAUGAUGUUUGGAUUUCAAAAUGACAUCUUUGCACCUAUUAUGCAGCCCAAGCUUGAGCAAAGCAAAUGUAGCAGUAGUAGUUAAAUAUCAGCUGUAAAAUCCAAAUAUGGUGAGGGUGCUGGGGAAGAAGAAAAAAAUAAAAAUUAACUUAACUGACUGCUUUCACAUUGCAAGUUCCAGAACUUGUGGUCUAAAAGUUUGGGUUCUUUUGCUUAUGUUCAGAAAGAUAAAUGAUUUUGUUUCCCCUUCUUCUGUGAGGCAGAAGUUGGACCUCAGUAUCAUAUAUUAAACAAUAAAGUGUUACGUGCGGAAGGAAGAGAAUUUAAGAUGUGAAUUAAGUUUGGGUUAUAAUAUAACUGACAACAAAACACCAGAGAAGAGACAUGAGCUGGGAUGAGAUGAAAUGAGACGAGACAUGAAAGAACGGGUAAAUUGAUGACUUAUCAGCCUACAGAUGGGAUGUGAAGAUAUGUGAGUGGAGAAUGAGAUCAUCACCGGGAAGUACACUAGGGGAAAAGAAGGGGUUUCACAGGAAAGGUCCCAGUAGUCUCUUAUGGAUAGUGGGAGGAUUGAUUUAAUCCACAGGAAAAUGAAUAUGAAAAAUGAUAUAAAGGUGGGCUGGCUUCCAAACCUCAGAGUGGCUUGAUUUUUUUCGCAAUGUACUUCAAAAAAAAAUGAAAUAAAAACACUGAGUAUGACCCUGAACCUCGAGCAGUAUGUGGGAUCUGUGCACCUUGAUGGUAUUCCCACCUAGCUAAAACUACAUAAACAUGCUUUCAAUUUUGGUAAUGAAAGGCAAUUUUCAGCAUUUUAAGGAAACUACUGCGUUGCUUAGAAUAAAGAG
This 2519-nucleotide long non-coding RNA is filed under the name Gallus gallus (chicken). The record is from RNAcentral. Lineage: Eukaryota; Metazoa; Chordata; Aves; Galliformes; Phasianidae.